This 20-nucleotide microRNA is filed under the name Homo sapiens (human). Its description in RNAcentral is "hsa-miR-1843". The record is from miRBase by way of RNAcentral. Lineage: Eukaryota; Metazoa; Chordata; Mammalia; Primates; Hominidae.
UAUGGAGGUCUCUGUCUGGC